This is a non-coding RNA of Triticum urartu, 3282 nucleotides long. The record is from RefSeq and is a predicted model, not a curated record. Lineage: Eukaryota; Viridiplantae; Streptophyta; Magnoliopsida; Poales; Poaceae.
AUGGAUUCUCUCCUCCACGAUGUCUCUUCUCCAUUACCUCUCUCUCCCCACGUACUACACGGUUCCUCUCUCCUCCAUGAUCUCUUCUUCUCCAUUAUCUCUCUCUCCUCAGAUGCAAAGCAAACCCAUCCACGGUCUCCCCCCUUCUCCAUUAUCUCUCUCAAUGUCCCGAUGGAAUACAAAUCCAUAUUCUCUCUUAACCUGAAGGCAUAGAUCUGAAAAAUCUAUAGCGCCUACUACGCGCUAGCCCGACGUGCGGCUGACCACCUGAUCUAGCGCGCUGGGCAGACCCGGCUGGACACACGGCAAUAGAUUUCCUCAUCUAUAUCGGAUUUGUAUAGUCGUGUAAUUUAUUCUCGGUUUGUUUUCUUGCUGACUUAUACUUGAAUCCAUCAUGACUUUUCCUUUGGAUCCAGAUUGAUUUCUUUGUGUCAUGCCGCCCUACAAAUCCUCAGGCCGCCCAAUGAAUCCCCAGGCUCCGUCACCUCUGCUCGCCGCCAUCCUCACCCCCGAACAUCUGAACAGCCUUUGUGGGUACAUAUUUUGCUAUAAAGGAGUUCAGCUAUGCCAUGGUGUAUACGUGGUUGUUCAUGUGCAGUAGUGUGCAGGUAUGGAGAGGUACGUACUGUAGUAACUAAAAUUAUCAGAUUGUGGUGCAAGAAUGCUUGGUGAGCACUGAGCAGACAUGUUGAUAAGCCAGUCACUGCCUUGUGAGGUUCACUGUUGAUGAUCAGAGACUAAUAAUUCAUAUAUGAGGACAUUUGAUUUUUCUGGUCAGGGAGUAUUUAUCGGUGGAAGACCCAUCAGUACUUGCCAGAAUAUACAUGUACAUACCUGACUGCAAUGCAUGCUUGCAUCCCGUUCCAUCUGCAGAAAAAUUAAGGUAAUUGAAUCAACUAGGUUUGAUCUGCUAUAUGUGCAAUACAAUGUAAUUUGUUGGCAAAAACAAUUAAUUUCUUACUUAAGUACACAUAUGGCAGAUCAGAUUGAGGCUCAGAGCCUAGCGUAGAAUUGCAUCGGCGAUACCGAUGGCCAUCAACAAUCCAAUAGACAUAGACGUAGUGAGCCCAUGUCGUAGUGCCCAAAUGGCAGGCCAUUGCGACUAAGACGAAGGCUUUGGUAGGCCCCAGAUGAUAAUAGCAUACUUUGUAUGUCGCUGCAUGGCAGAAUGACUCCACGAGAGAAUUUUUGUCAUGGUUGGAGACCAGAUGAUAUUAUGGCCUCCAAUAUCCACUUUAGCAGACCAAUGUGCAUGCUUUGGUUCAGCGUUCUGCAUAUAAUAAGAGACCAACAGGAGCAGCCUAUGAUGGAGUCCUAAGAAAAAUUGCACAAACAACUGCAAGUCUAGGCUAUGUUGUGGUCUGAUUUGGGCAGAAAAACUGCUUUGAAAAUUGGGACUACUGAAGAUGGUAUAAGAUGUUUCACUUCUCAUGUUUACUAUUUUCUUUUCUACCGAGAUCUAAUUAGUGUCGUUUUCUUCUAUCAUUUUUAUAAAAUUGUAUGUACACUAUAAUACAGUUUAUACCCUGAGAAAAUAAUAGCAUCGGAGAGCUAGCGGUUUGGGCGUAAGGGGCAUGGAGAAAACCUGGCAUUGUUGAAGGCACCGCUGCCGGACGCGUUGUUCUACAAGCCAUGUUUUCUGCUGUCCAGUACAAUAGACCAGGAAAAUUAGUAGCUUCAUACAUGGAUGUUCAGGUAUGCAAUCAUCUUUUAUACACAAAUGAUCUUCAUAAUAUAAAUAUGGAUUUUGAUUGCGCUAUACCAGCACAGCUACAGGCUUCUAUAUUAUGCAUGAACUGAAGUAUGUGAUGGUUGAUCUAUGGAGGGCACACUAUACAGCAGGUACAUUUGAAAAAAUAAUACAACUUACAACUUACAUUAUCACAAUCUUUCCUGUAAAUUAAUAAUCUUUGUUCCCUACUAUGGUAGUAGUAAAUAAUCGACCAUCUAUUGUCUCAUCUCAAUAUCUCUUGCCUUGAAGCUUUGUCUGUGUGAGCUACCGGAUGACCUAUUCUAUUGCGUAGUGGCGAUUGCUAUGCGUUUGGGCUCGCGUAGCCUCAUGGCCCUCAUUAUAGGAUGUGUGGUAUCCUAGAAGCAGCUUCAAUCGCUGAGAAUGGGAUGCAUGCACGUGUGGGCAGUUUUUCGACACCUCAUGCAAAUAAAUUCAGAGCACAACCAUGUUCAUCAGGUGAGCUUACACAAAUUAAACAUCAUGUUGGUUCACAACAUCGUCGACCAUGACCAUCUGGCGAGGUUAUACAAAUUAGACACCAUGUUGGUUCACAACAUCGUAGAUGGUUCGCUUCUCUAACUAGGUGCCAAUGUUUUCUUUGGUCCGUUGUUCUCACUGUGCAUGUUAGGGAAUCAUCUUUUGUGUUCUUUCGCAGAUUCAAUUUUUUGUAAUCCUUUAAUUUGUUAUAUCAAGUUCAACUAUUUUUCUUGGCAAUUUAAUGUUUAAAGAAAUUGCGUGUGAUAUGAAGGCCAGAUUAAUUAAGAUGUGGGAUGCCAUUAACGUGAACAGUGAACUUACUUGAUGAAGAGGGCAUGAUGCAUGAGAAGGUAAUGUAACAUAUUGUUAUCAAGUUCAGUCGCUGAUCCAAGAAGGUUCAGUCUAAGUUUAUAUCUUCGCCGUAUUUCCAUCAAAUUGGAGGUGAGAAGACACCUUAUUUCUUGCACACUAAUCCAAAAAAACUAUUGGCGAAGAUUGAAUUUUCAGUUUUGACUGAAUGAAUAUAAUCUCAAUUCUCAAGUACAUUUACCAAUAUUACACUAUUUAUGCAAAAAAAUCACAGAUUUUGAAGAAGACACGUCAUUAAAGCAUACAAAUGUCGAACAGGUUCUGUUAUUUCGACCAUGAGGCUCUAUAUUGUUUUGUAUGUGCAAGCCAUAUUAAAAGUUUGUUAUGCUUUUCUAGGAGACUAUUACCAGGACACCAAAUGUCAAAAUUUGAAUGGACAGCAGGCAGACUAUAAAUCAGUUGUAAAGGGGCAAGUGCAAAACUUAUUUGUUCUGAAAAAUAUAAAGCAAGAGCCGGAGGAUGAUGAACUCCACCUCCAUACUACCUAAAAGGAUUAGGGGAAGGAGCACAAGUCGUGUCACAUGUAGAAGAGGAAUAAAAAAAGGAAGGUACUCAGGUGUUGAUAUAAAAUCACCGAAUAUAGAAUGUCCAGUGUGUCCUGGACUCGAAAAUUAGUUAUAAUUUGAACAGGUACAAGCAUUCUUAUCUGACAAAAUGUAAUAUGGUCCAGAUAUAGCACCUUUUUUAAAUUGUUCCACCAUCCA